This 447-nucleotide ribosomal RNA is filed under the name Triticum aestivum (bread wheat). Its description in RNAcentral is "partial small subunit ribosomal RNA". Lineage: Eukaryota; Viridiplantae; Streptophyta; Magnoliopsida; Poales; Poaceae. The record is from RNAcentral.
AUGAGGACAAUGAUGGGUCCUCCUCGGCCAUGGCCAAUUGUGCGAGAUUCACCAGGUUGCGGGGCUUGGUCAGCAGUGUGUGUGGCCAGUGGUUGUAGUGCACUGAAGCGGAGAGGCAGUGCCGUCGUUGACCAUGGAUUCAGAUCCUGGGAGUUCUGUCAGGAUAGGGAGGCAAAAGGAAAAUGGGCUGUGGGGUCACUGGCAGACGACGUGCUUGGUUCCGCAGGUCGUAUUGUCAAAGUGCCAGUGAAUUACCUGCCUUCAGGCUCUUCUCCUAUCAAGGGUGACAUCACCUGGGAUUGCUGUGGUCUUACUGAAGAAGCUGACAACCUUGGCUAUUUGUCUAUGAUGUCGACUGAUGCCAUCAAGACCAUUGGUAAUGACACGUGUGAUGAUGAGUCUAACUACGCCGAAUAUGAUGAGUUUCCAGGCUUACUAUUCAUCUGA